GAUGAAGAACGUAGCGAAAUGCGAUAAGUAAUGUGAAUUGCAGAAUUCAGUGAAUCAUCGAAUCUUUGAACGCACAUUGCACCCGCCAGUAUUCUGGCGGGCAUGCCUGUCCGAGCGUCAUUUCAACCCUCGAACCCCUCCGGGGGGUCGGCGUUGGGGAUCGGCACUUACCUGCCGGCCCCGAAAUACAGUGGCGGUCUCGCCGCAGCCUCUCCUGCGCAGUAGUUUGCACACUCGCACCGGGAGCGCGGCGCGUCCACGGCCGUAAAACAGCCCAAACUUCUGAAAUGUUGACCUCGGAUCAGGUAGGAAUACCCGCUGAACUUAAGCAUAUCAAUAAGCGGAGGA
This 348-nucleotide unclassified non-coding RNA is filed under the name soil metagenome. RNAcentral's name for it is "partial contains 5.8S ribosomal RNA, internal transcribed spacer 2, and large subunit ribosomal RNA". The stretch from base 1 to 120 matches the Rfam family "5.8S ribosomal RNA", at positions 35 to 154 of the family's 154-position model. The record is from RNAcentral.